GCCGUUUACAAUUCAAAACUAACACAGAAAAACUAACACAGAACCUUAUUACAAUUCAAAACAAAAUAAACAAAACAAUUCAAGUGUUGCUGCCACGGUUGUCCCAAUUUCCUUGUGUUGGACAGCUUCUGGACACUUUGGAGUCGUCUAGCUUUUGAGAUUCAACUUUCCUUUUUUUUAGUUUCUAUUGCAGCGGAACAUAAGCAAGACUCUUCACGGUUCAGUGACUUUGCUGUCAAAUGCAAAUACUGCAGAAUGAGCUUGAUUGAAAGAGCUGCUUGCUUCUAUUCACGGUGCUGGGCUACGCUGCAUAAGCACAGAACAAAAUCUGGAUUCCAGCAACAAGUGAUUCAACAGACAGGCCAAGGUCUAAAGCUGCACAGGAUUAGUUCAAUUUAGAAGAAACAAAAUAUUCAUAUUAGCAGCUUGCUCUUUUGGUUAUCUUGGAUGCAUUCCAACUUGGUCAGCUUCACUGUGCUGCACAAAGGAACAAUAAGCAAAUGGUUAAGGUUAAUUCUAAAAUCUCUCUAAAUGUCAAGAUCCUUAGCCAAGUUAGCCUUCCAAAAUUCUCUACACUCAAGAUUCUUUCUCAAGGAAAGUUGCUGUUAUUGAUCAGCACAAUUCUCACAACUACAUGUAUGAUGUUUGUGCACAUUUGUUAUUUCAGCACUCAAAAAUGGUAAAAAAAAUGGUGUGCAGCUUUGGUUUCUCGGAAACAAUAAGUGAAUUUGCUUAAUUCACACUAAACUCUCAAUUGCCAAAGUGCCGAAUCUGUUGCUGUCACAUGGAAAUUCCACACCAGAAUUUGCAGCUUACGAGUGCACUGCUGUGCCGAAUUGCAUCCUUCCAAGUGAUCUUUUCCUUCACCAAUCCUCUUCCUAAAGUGCUACCAAUUAUGUCAAGCCGUCUACAACAAUGCUGUAACCACAAAUGAACUCACACCAAUCCACAUUCAUCAAGUUUGAGUGCAGAAAUUGAGACUUUUGCUGCUGCAAUGAUAACAGAACAGAACACACCACUGGAAAUAUAACAAACAGUUGGUGUGCAGAAGUCCAAACAAUCAAAAAUCAAGCAAUUAAUCAGUGUUCAAUGAUAGAUGGCACUCAAAAGGAACUUAGGAAAGGUUCUAGAGUAGAUUUGAAAAGCAAGAAACAAAGAUAAGUUGCAAUGAUAUCCAAUUCAACUCAAAUGNUUUUUAUGUCAAAAGUGUUCGACCAAUUGUCUCAAAGAAAGAAAACUGAUACUAUGCAUCCAGUAUAGUGUUAUGGUUUGGUACGNUUUCCAAUUGCUUUUCCAAUUCAGCAUACAAGUCUAUUUUGAUUUAUGCCUUCUGUUCUUUUCUUUUAAUGAAUGAAACCAUGCAUUUUGCUACCAAAAUUCAUACACAAUGGAUGCACACUUAAUCAGCACAAUGAACAUAAAUCUGCAACUUAUUCUCAACAGAACUUAGCUGACAAAAACGCAACUGAAUUGGCUAGAUUUAGCAGUUCAUGUUAAUUGGAAAAUUGAAAGCUUCCAGCAACUUUUAAUGAUCAAAUGUGACUUAUAUCAAUGAUCAAAUUAAACAGUUCACUCCUAAAUCAAAUUUUGACUAUAUGAGUUGUUAUUUCAAGCUAAAUCAUAACCAAGACAGAAUACAACUUUCAGCACAGGAUUCAAAAGUGUUUGGAUCAGUAAAUUGGCACUUGGAGCAAAUUUUAAUUGCCAAAUAUAUCAGUUUAAGACGAUUACUAGGCACUGCACUCGGUCAAUUCAAAUUUUCACCACACAGGUUGCUCAAUUCAACCAAAAAUGAUCCAUACACACAUGGAAAUUCAUCCUAAUGCUUCAAACAAAUAUGAAACACAAUUUUAUGAAUCCAAACAGCAAGCUAAUUUGAACACAAACUCUAUAGAAUUAUGAAGAAGUCCAGACAAGGAUACUAUAGCUGGACCGAUUAAAACAAAAAAUUACAAAGAUUCUCUGCAAAGAUGUAUGCAGCACGGUUCAAGCUGCUGUGUAAUAGAUUUGGAAUCUGCAGAGUAAUGCUCUCCACUAUAAUAUCUUAAUCAUAUUUUGUGGUAUGCAUUUUCCUCUUAUUGCAUCAUAUCCAACACUCACAAGCACACAAUCAUGAGAUUAAAACAGAAUAGCAUAAAAACACAAUUGAUUGUGCGAAUAACACUUUUCCACCUGAUGCAAACCAAAUUCAAAUUUGAAACAGUUAUACUUUGUCAACCUCUGGUACUGCUUUGUUAAGGAGAUUCAAGAUGCACUAAGCUUCUAUUGAAUUACUCCAAUCAACUAUGCAGAUUUAUCCACACACGGUUGAACUUGGAAAUUGAACAUAAUGGAAACAACAAUGAACAUGACUUAGAUAAACAGCAGUAGGAUUUAAAAAAAAAAAAAAAAAAAAAAAAAAAAAAAAAAAAAAAAAAAAAAAAAAAAAAAAAAAAAAAAACUCAAAUCUAUGAAAUGAACCGAUUAAAAUGCUAAGACCAAAUCAAAUCAAAGCUGGAUCAAACAAGUGACUCAAAGGAACCUACGGAAAUCAAACAAAGCAAUGGAACAGUGAAAUCACUACAGCACACGCAAGGAAUGUUGAUGACAGUACGGAUCAAGGCAAUGACACUUAUCUGGAUCGUGAUGCAAGCCGAACCUUGCUCUGAAUACCAAUUGAUGACGUUCCAGCUUGUAGGUGAAUGAAAUUUGAGCAGCGGAAGUUAACAUGAAGCAACAGUAGUGGAGGUGGAUGUAUAUGGAUGUCGGUGUUGGAUGAAGAUGCGGCAGCGGAAGAAUUCUCAAUGAAAAUAGUGACGGUGAAAAUGAACUGAUUCAAGGUGAUGCACGGAUGAAGAGCUCGGUGGUGAAUGAAACUAGUCAGACGGCUUCCAUAAUUGGAAGGAANNNN
This 2890-nucleotide long non-coding RNA is filed under the name Vigna radiata. RNAcentral describes it as "long non-coding RNA (VRAD_LNC015578)". The record is from RNAcentral. Lineage: Eukaryota; Viridiplantae; Streptophyta; Magnoliopsida; Fabales; Fabaceae.